AGCCGUAUCGGAAGGUGCGGCUGGAUCACCUCCUUUUGAGCAAAGACAGCAUCGUCCUGUCGGGCGUCUUCACAAAGUACCUGCAUUCAGAGAAUCACAACGGCCAGGCCGCUGUGAGAGUCCCUUUUGGGGCCUUAGCUCAGCUGGGAGAGCACCUGCUUUGCAAGCAGGGGGUCGUCGGUUCGAUCCCGACAGGCUCCACCACGUUUGAGCAUGUUCCGGAAAGUAUUUCCGGGUCUGUAGCUCAGGUGGUUAGAGCGCACCCCUGAUAAGGGUGAGGUCGGUAGUUCGAGUCUACCCAGACCCACCAUUCUCUGAAUGACGCAUACAAUCGAUCUUUAUACGCAUCAGCACUGUGGCUGGUACGUGUUCUUUUAAAACUUGUGACGUAGCGAGCGUUUGAGAUGUUCUAUCAGACGUGUCGUGAGGCUAAGGCGAGAGACGCAAGUCUCUUUAUUGAUUGAGUCGUUAUAUUCGUAUCCGGGCUUUGUACCCCCGGGUCAUAUGUAACCCAAGGCAACUUGCGGUUAUAUGGUCAAGCGAAUAAGCGCACACGGUGGAUGCCUUGGCGGUCAGAGGCGAUGAAGGACGUGGCAGCCUGCGAAAAGUAUCGGGGAGCUGGCAACAA
This 628-nucleotide unclassified non-coding RNA is filed under the name Stenotrophomonas maltophilia. Its description in RNAcentral is "partial contains 16S ribosomal RNA, 16S-23S ribosomal RNA intergenic spacer, and 23S ribosomal RNA". The stretch from base 234 to 307 matches the Rfam family "tRNA". Lineage: Bacteria; Pseudomonadati; Pseudomonadota; Gammaproteobacteria; Lysobacterales; Lysobacteraceae. The record is from RNAcentral.